GAUGAACGCUGGCGGCGUGCCUAAUACAUGCAAGUCGAGCGAACGGACGAGAAGCUUGCUUCUCUGAUGUUAGCGGCGGACGGGUGAGUAACACGUGGAUAACCUACCUAUAAGACUGGGAUAACUUCGGGAAACCGGAGCUAAUACCGGAUAAUAUUUUGAACCGCAUGGUUCAAAAUUGAAAGACGGUCUUGCUGUCACUUAUAGAUGGAUCCGCGCUGCAUUAGCUAGUUGGUAAGGUAACGGCUUACCAAGGCAACGAUGCAUAGCAGACCUGAGAGGGUGAUCCGCCACACUGGAGCUGGGACACGGUCCAGACUCCUACGGGAGGCAGCGGUAGGGAAUCUUCCGCAAUGGGCGGAAGCCUAACGGAGCAACGCCGCGUGAGUGAUGAAGAUCUUCGGAUCGUAAAACUCUGUUAUUAGGGAAGAACAUAUGUGUAAGUAACUGUGCACAUCUUGACGGUACCUAAUCAGAAAGCCACGGCUAACUACGUG
This 497-nucleotide ribosomal RNA is filed under the name uncultured bacterium. Its description in RNAcentral is "partial 16S ribosomal RNA". It matches the Rfam family "Bacterial small subunit ribosomal RNA", at positions 28 to 507 of the family's 1533-position model. The record is from RNAcentral.